AUUGAACGCUGGCGGAAUGCUUUACACAUGCAAGUCGAACGGCAGCACGGACUUCGGUCUGGUGGCGAGUGGCGAACGGGUGAGUAAUGUAUCGGAACGUGCCCAGUCGUGGGGGAUAACGUAGUGAAAAUUACGCUAAUACCGCCUACGAUCUAUGGAUGAAAGCGGGGGAUCGCAAGACCUCGCGCGAUUGGCGCGGCCGAUAUCAGAUUAGGUAGUUGGUGGGGUAAAGGCCCACCAAGCCAACGAUCUGUAGCUGGUCUGAGAGGACGACAAGCCACACUGGAACUGAGACACGGUCCAGACUCCUACGGGAGGCAGCAGUGGGGAAUUUUGGACAAUGGGCGAAAGCCUGAUCCAGCCAGUCCGCGUGCAGGAUGAAGGCCCUCGGGUUGUAAACUGCUUUUGUACAGAACGAAAAGGUUUCUACUAAUACUAGGAGCUCAUGACGGUACUGUAAGAAUAAGCACCGGCUAACUACGUGCCAGCAGCCGCCGUAA
This 500-nucleotide ribosomal RNA is filed under the name uncultured bacterium. RNAcentral's name for it is "partial 16S ribosomal RNA". It matches the Rfam family "Bacterial small subunit ribosomal RNA", at positions 30 to 523 of the family's 1533-position model. The record is from RNAcentral.